Triticum dicoccoides is the source of this 336-nucleotide long non-coding RNA. RefSeq lists it as uncharacterized. The transcript is spliced from 4 exons. NCBI's taxonomy places the organism in Eukaryota, Viridiplantae, Streptophyta, Magnoliopsida, Poales, Poaceae. The record is from RefSeq and is a predicted model, not a curated record.
AGGAGGCUGGAGAAGAGCAGGGAGAAAAGGGAGUCGUGGAUGGAGGUUCUGUACUUCUACUUGUCCUACAUGGCCGAGCGAGAUCGAGGCUAGCCGCCGGUAAUGUUCUUCUCCCGUGCAAGUUCCGCACUGCAUUGAAGCAUCCAACACAUGAUGUAGCUACGUUACAGGUGGGACAUCAGCCAAGUAUGUUUCGAGGUGAGACAUCCAUCAAGUUUGUUUGGAGAAAUUGUGCAGUCCAGCUCCUGCGUGCUGGUCACCGAGCUCCACUGUGUCCAGCUCAUCCGACCAUGUGCUCCACUGCAUCUAGGUCAGCCGAUCUUGUGGCAGAGCUAC